GACGUAGGGAGCGAGCGUUGUCCGGAUUCAUUGGGCGUAAAGAGCGCGCAGGCGGCUUGGCAAGUCGGAUGUGAAAACCCGGAGCUCAACUCCGGGCGUGCAUCCGAAACUGCCCGGCUAGAGGUAGGUAGGGGAGAUCGGAAUUCCUGGUGUAGCGGUGGAAUGCGCAGAUAUCAGGAGGAACACCGGUGGCGAAGGCGGAUCUCUGGGCCUUACCUGACGCUCAGGCGCGAAAGCUAGGGGAGCAAACAGG
This 253-nucleotide ribosomal RNA is filed under the name uncultured bacterium. RNAcentral's name for it is "partial 16S ribosomal RNA". It matches the Rfam family "Bacterial small subunit ribosomal RNA", at positions 524 to 776 of the family's 1533-position model. The record is from RNAcentral.